RNAcentral lists this ribosomal RNA (808 nucleotides) under uncultured bacterium. RNAcentral's name for it is "bacterial SSU rRNA". It matches the Rfam family "Bacterial small subunit ribosomal RNA", at positions 1 to 804 of the family's 1533-position model. The record is from RNAcentral.
UUAGAGUUUGAUCCUGGCUCAGGAUGAACGCUAGCGGCAGGCUUAACACAUGCAAGUCGAGGGGCAGCGAGAUCAGUGCUUGCACUGAUUGUCGGCGACCGGCGCACGGGUGCGUAACGCGUAUGCAACCUACCCAUUACAGGGGGAUAACACUGAGAAAUCGGUACUAAUACCCCAUAACAUCCAGGGAGGCAUCUUCGUGGGUUGAAAACUCCGGUGGUAAUGGAUGGGCAUGCGUUGUAUUAGUUAGUUGGUGGGGUAACGGCUCACCAAGACAACGAUACAUAGGGGGACUGAGAGGUUAACCCCCCACAUUGGUACUGAGACACGGACCAAACUCCUACGGGAGGCAGCAGUGAGGAAUAUUGGUCAAUGGACGCAAGUCUGAACCAGCCAUGCCGCGUGCAGGAAGACGGCUCUAUGAGUUGUAAACUGCUUUUGUACGAGGGUAAACGCAGAUACGCGUAUCUGUCUGAAAGUAUCGUACGAAUAAGGAUCGGCUAACUCCGUGCCAGCAGCCGCGGUAAUACGGAGGAUUCAAGCGUUAUCCGGAUUUAUUGGGUUUAAAGGGUGCGUAGGCGGUCGGAUAAGUUAGAGGUGAAAUCCCGGGGCUCAACUUCGGAAUUGCCUCUGAUACUGUUCGGCUAGAGAGUAGUUGCGGUAGGCGGAAUGUAUGGUGUAGCGGUGAAAUGCUUAGAGAUCAUACAGAACACCGAUUGCGAAGGCAGCUUACCAAGCUACUUCUGACGUUGAGGCACGAAAGCGUGGGGAGCAAACAGGAUUAGAUACCCUGGUAGUCCACGCAGUA